This is a long non-coding RNA of Gopherus evgoodei (Goodes thornscrub tortoise), 1465 nucleotides long. RefSeq lists it as uncharacterized. The transcript has 3 exons. NCBI's taxonomy places the organism in Eukaryota, Metazoa, Chordata, Testudines, Testudinidae. The record is from RefSeq and is a predicted model, not a curated record.
AGUGGACUGUCUCUUUUUGUAAAUUCUGUACAUUGUAAAAUUUGUUGCCACGUACUGUCCAUACUCAUCUGUCAGCCCUAGUCUCUCCUUAUGAGUGCUAAAGGCAUCAUCCUGAACUGCUUCAGCCCCACAUGUAUCACUGACAAACUUCCUUCUCUUAGCCACUCUCAUUAUAUGGAGUUAAAGGGGUUGUCCUAGAUGGAACUCUCCCAUCUUCCUCUGUAUAUAACACUUAACAGAUCCCCCUCUCUAUCUUUCAACUGCUUCUGUCUUCUCUUGCCCACUGUGGUUUAGGCAGGGGGCUUUUUUCUUUCCAGCAGGGUAGCUGCUCAGUUGGCUUGUGGGAGGGAGUAUCUAGCUCAAAUGAAGUGAAAUGAACCUUCUUUUUUUUAUUUUUUUUGUGUGCUGUUUUCUACCUCAUCCUUCCACCCUCCUUUUCUGCACCAGACCCUCUGUUGUUCAUACUCCUGGCUUCCUUUCCAGUCCUCUCACUCUUCUUUUCUCCUUUUCAUUCUUAGUCCUAUUCCUCCUCUUGCUCUAUCAAUCUCUCCUUCUGUCCUCUUUCUUGCCAUUCUUGAAGGAAAAGGAUCCAAUCAGAUCCUUAACCAGCCUGGACAUUAUCAGCUGUCACAAUGUGAGUCAGCUGCAACCAAGAAUGACAGGCAAGAGGGAAUACACCAGUUGUAACUGGGCAGGAAGUGGUCAACAACAAGCCUGCUAGUGCACAUGGGGUUCCCUGAACCAUCAGCAGCUCAUGCUUUUAAAGUGUUUCCCCGUGACCUGGGACUUCUGUUCUGAGAUUUGAGGAUGGCUGUGACCUCCUGAGGGUUAAAUGUCCAGCAGCUAUCUGUAUUUACAUCACACUCAUUACUGUAAUACCUGAGAGAUGCACAUUUGACCAGGAGGUUGUUACCCACACAAAAUUCUGUAACUCACGCACCUUAGGGGUACCUUUAUUCAGUUCCUAGGGCUCAAGACAUAACCCUCUUAAUUUAGGCACCCACCCUUAGCCUAUUCCUGUAGCUCAGGCAUAACCUUAGGCUCUAUGGCAACCACCUUACCCUGUUCUUAGGGCUUAGGUGUGAUCCUGUUAAUUUAGGCACCCACUCGUACCCUUCUGUGGGCUCAAGGCAUAACCUUACACUCUGCGGGUUUGCAGAGUCUUUUACCAAUAGAAGAGCCUUACUCAGUAAUAUCCUACUUAACCUCUAUUUAUUAACAGUUAGUUCCCUACAAAAAUGAAUGCAUUCACUAUGCAUACAAUGCUCACCACUCCCAGUCUUCUUCAUGGCUAGUCAGGAUCAGGUCAUCUGGGGGACUCCAGCUAUUUUACAGUGUGGUUGGCAGGGUUUUGAGGUCUGGCAGCUCGAUCUCGGGGCUGUGUCCUGGAUUUGGUUCCCAAGAACUUCCUUUUGGACCCCAGUUUAUGUAGUGAAAUUUGAGUCCUGUUUAGCUUCUGGCAAAC